RNAcentral lists this ribosomal RNA (253 nucleotides) under uncultured bacterium. RNAcentral's name for it is "partial 16S ribosomal RNA". It matches the Rfam family "Bacterial small subunit ribosomal RNA", at positions 524 to 776 of the family's 1533-position model. The record is from RNAcentral.
UACGGAGGAUGCAAGCGUUAUCCGGAAUUAUUGGGCGUAAAGCGUCCGCAGGUGGCCCUUCAAGUCUGCUGUCAAAGACCGGGGCUUAACCCUGGAAAGGCAGUGGAGACUGAAGCGCUAGAGUGUGGCAGGGGUAGAGGGAAUUCCCGGUGUAGCGGUGAAAUGCGUAGAGAUCGGGAAGAACAUCGGUGGCGAAAGCGCUCUACUGGGCCAUAACUGACACUCAGGGACGAAAGCUAGGGGAGCGAAUGGG